ACGCGAAGAACCUUACCUGGACUCGAAAUCUAGUUGACAGUCUCAGAGAUGAGAUCUUCCCGCAAGGGACGGCUGGAUAGGUGCUGCAUGGCUGUCGUCAGCUCGUGUCGUGAGAUGUUGGGUUAAGUCCCGCAACGAGCGCAACCCUUACCCUUAGUUGCUCGCCCGCAAGGGAAGCACCCUAAGGGAACCGCCUCGGAUAACGGGGAGGAAGGUGGGGAUGACGUCAAGUCCUCAUGGCCUUUAUGCCCAGGGCUACACACGUGCUACAAUGGCCGGUACAAACCGUCGCUAACCCGCGAGGGGGAGCCAAUCGGAAAAAACCGGUCUCAGUUCGGAUUGCAGGCUGCAACUCGCCUGCAUGAAGCUGGAAUCGCUAGUAAUCACGUAUCAGAACGACGUGGUGAAUACGUUCCCGGGCCUUGUA
This 427-nucleotide ribosomal RNA is filed under the name uncultured Acidobacterium sp. Its description in RNAcentral is "bacterial SSU rRNA". It matches the Rfam family "Bacterial small subunit ribosomal RNA", at positions 959 to 1385 of the family's 1533-position model. The record is from RNAcentral. Lineage: Bacteria; Pseudomonadati; Acidobacteriota; Terriglobia; Terriglobales; Acidobacteriaceae.